AACAUCUAUCGCAGCUUCACCCUCUACCAAGUCAGUUUAUCUUUUUCGCAUAUAAAUAUUCUGAUUGGAGGAUUACCAGUGAGUGAAAGCGUAGAAGAACCAUCAAGGAGCACGUUUCUGGGCGCCCGGUAUUGACAUUGAUCGUGGAAUACUGGGAAUCAGUUGUGACUAAAUCU
RNAcentral lists this small nucleolar RNA (176 nucleotides) under Debaryomyces hansenii. Its description in RNAcentral is "Small nucleolar RNA snR32". It matches the Rfam family "Small nucleolar RNA snR32". The record is from Rfam by way of RNAcentral. Lineage: Eukaryota; Fungi; Ascomycota; Pichiomycetes; Serinales; Debaryomycetaceae.